Molecule: long non-coding RNA, 782 nt
Filed under: Mytilus galloprovincialis (Mediterranean mussel)
Lineage: Eukaryota; Metazoa; Mollusca; Bivalvia; Mytilida; Mytilidae
Source: RNAcentral
CUGUCAGACAGUUUUCCUUUAACCUCGACCUCAUUUUAUGGUUUAAGUUUUCGUGGUCAAGUCCAUCAUGUACAAACAUGUACUAUUAGUGAUAUGUAUACUAUAAUUUGUGUGUGGAAUAAUAGUGUGUACAUGUUCUACCGGCAGGUGUCAUCUGACCUUGACCUUAUUUUCAUUGUUCAGUGGUUAAACUUUUGUGUUCUGGUCUUAAAUAUAAGCAUAAGUCAACUAUAUUAAAUAUAUAAAAUGAUUAUAACAUGUAUAAGUAUCAGGUGUAUAUUCCUGUCUGGCUUGUAACAUCUUACCGUGACCUCUUUUUUAUGAUUCAUUGAUCACUGUUAAGGUAUCAUGGUUUUCUUAGUUUCUGUAAGCAAUAGGUCAACUACAUUUAAUGCACAAAUUGAUUGAAAGAUGUACUUAAUAGUCUGUCAUGGUUUAUUUUACAUUGGUCUCAUUUGCAUGGUUCAGUGGGCAAUGUUAAAUAAAGGCAACAGUAGUAUACCGCUGUUCAAACUUAUAAAUUUAUGGACAAAAAACAAAAUCGGGGUAACAAACUAAAACUGAGGGAAACGCAUAAAUAUAAGAGGAGAACAACGACACAACACUACAAUGUAGUUCAUUUUCGAUCUAUGAGUUUGACUUUGCCUCUGGUACCUUUCACCCUUCUAUGUUCUGUUCUUCCUUUCUUUUAAUUUUACCGGUACAUUGAUUGAUAUACUAAAUUAUAUACCAUAUAUGAACUAUGCAGGCUAAUUUGGGUGUCUUGUAUUUCUUUAUACGAG